This 314-nucleotide ribosomal RNA is filed under the name uncultured eukaryote. RNAcentral's name for it is "partial 18S ribosomal RNA". It matches the Rfam family "Eukaryotic small subunit ribosomal RNA", at positions 1470 to 1796 of the family's 1831-position model. The record is from RNAcentral.
CCCUUAGAUGUUCUGGGCCGCACGCGCGCUGCAAUGGCAGACUCAGCGAGUUACCUCUGUCGAAAGGCACAGGGAAUCUUUACAGUAUCUGCCGUGAUGGGGAUAGACCCUUGUAAUUUUUGGUCUUCAACGAGGAAUUCCUAGUAAACGCAAGUCAUUAACUUGCAUUGAUUACGUCCCUGCCCUUUGUACACACCGCCCGUCGCACCUACCGAUUGAAUGGUCCGGUGAAGUCCUCGGACCCAGUUGAACCUCGAGUUGAACAGGGAAAGUUGAUUAAAUCUUACCAUUUAGAGGAAGGUGAAGUCGUAACA